Globicephala melas (long-finned pilot whale) is the source of this 4788-nucleotide long non-coding RNA. RefSeq lists it as uncharacterized. NCBI's taxonomy places the organism in Eukaryota, Metazoa, Chordata, Mammalia, Artiodactyla, Delphinidae. The record is from RefSeq and is a predicted model, not a curated record.
CGCGGACGCUCCGCCCGGCAGCUCCGGCUCCCGCGGUGGUGGCGGCGGCGGAGCCCUGAGAGCCGGCCUCCCUAUAUUACCAUGCAGCUCAUUAUCAUAGAGGCCGCGCGCGUUAACCCCCUCCCUGCCGGCCGCUCCCGCCCGGGCUGGGGCCGCGCCCGCCACUGGCACAGCGCGCCGCAGCCAGCCCCCUGCCCCCUCCCCCGCCCGCCCGGUCUUCCUCCUCCGCCAGCUGUCAACAAAGGAGAAUCAGGUUGGGCAUCGGGAGGCCGCUCCGCUGCCUCCCUGUGCGCGGCUCAGCCCGGACCCACCCGCCACCUUAAGUGGCAAAGGGGGCAACGCAAAUCCUGCUGGGGCCUGGGGAUUUGGGUGGAGGCCUGAAGAGCCCGGCCGGCUGAACCCCCGGUGCGGGGAGCUCAGGACGCCGGCAGAGUGGGAGAGGUCAGUGGGGACGUGGGCUCCCCCUCCCUGAGCAUCACCUGUCACCGCGCACAUCCUGCACAUCUCUCUCUUCGUCUUUAAUCUGAGGGCUGAUAGCAGACGCAUGGCCCCUGGGGACUCAUCAAGACUCUGCCAGUGCCUUGAAGUUCAUCCUCAUUUCCAUCAGGGGGAAUGGUCACAGCCCAGCACCGUUCUGCACACGUGAAUGUUGCUCUGGGAGGAGAAUAUUCUCUGGGAGGGUCAGCCAACUACAGCCCUAAACUUAUGUGAACAGGUCUCUGGAACCAUCUAAAGACUCCUGCGUGUCCCGGGUGAGAAGGCUGCAGGAUGCAGGAGGGUGUGUGUGUUUAACAGCGAGACUUGGCCCAGAGGAAAGAAGUGGCCAACACAUGCAGAUCUCCACCAGCUCAUGUCACCUCUGCCCUGCACAACAGCACAUGCAUGGCCGCGCCUGCCUUCCAAAAUAAUGGGAUAAUGGGUGCAACGUGCGUCACCCACCCCUUAGAGAGAGCACGGCAGUCGGUCUUUAUGGAAUCCACGGGGAGCAGGGCAAGCAGACACCGGUGUCUGCCUUCUCCUGGAUUGCAUCUGUACCCUACAAACCCCCAACAGAAUUGAAUUUACAUCUCCUCCUAAUUAGGGGAGAAAGGAAGACAAGAAUGAUAGUAGAAGAAUUUCUUCCUACCUCUGACUGCAAGCUCUUCAGGGACAGGACAUUAAGCUCUCCCUCUGUCUGCUCCCACCCUUCUCUCUCCUGACUGAUACCUGGAGUACCUAACACAGUGCCAGCCCCUCCCUGGGACCGGAGCCGGUGUGUGAUGAGAGUGAUGAAGCGGGGCUGGUUGGAAAAGCUAGACCGCGCCCGGACGCUUGUCUCCGGUGUGCUGGUCUGCUGUGAGGCAGUGCAGAGCAGUGGCUGGGGGGGUGGGUAGUCUGGGAUGCCUCAAGCCAGACGCGUGGGAGCUGGUCCAGGGCCCGUUGGGGGUGGAGGGAUUGGGCGUUGCCCGGAGGAGGCUGGUAGGGAGUAAAGUUCGUUGCCCACACUGCUUAAAUAAAUCAAAUGUCCUGGCACGCAGAUGCAAGCGCCAGUGCCUGCUUCAGUGCUGUAAGUUUAGAGCAGGGUAUGAACUACUAGGGUCUAAAUAGAAAAAGUCAGAAACGGCGUAAGUCUUGGCAGACAGGAAUCAACGGCGUCAUCACCAACAUCAUGAAACAGUUAAUAAUCACCAGGAAAAAAAAAAAGACUUAAAUGUUGUUUCCUAUAUUCUGAGUUUUGAAUUCCUAGAAAGUAAGAUCCACACAUUUCCCUCAUAGUCAGUUUAAGGUUAAGUUCAUUUUUAUUCCUUUUGUGAAAUACACUCUUGCGGGUUAUUCUGGGUGGUGUAUGAGAUGGAAAGGAAGAUCGAGAACAAAAGUAAUUCUGUUCCUGUCCUUCUCUUCUGACUCUCCUCCUCUUUCUCUCUGGGGUCACAGCACUGAUUUUUGUGUAUUUGUGGGGUUUUUUUUUCCUCGUAUGGCUUCUAUUCACUCAGAAUCAGUAUUUGAAUGGCAAGACUAUUAUUUCCAUAAUAAAACAGAGGUUGGACCCCCUCCGCCUUGGGUGACAGGCGACCUGGAUUCUAACCCUGCCUCUGCUCUUUCCUGGCCUCCCACAAGUCCUCUCCCUCCUUUUGGUCCUGGUUUUUGCAUCUGUAAGAAGCAGGAAUCAGGCUCCACGCUCCCCUCUCUCCCCCCGCACUGCCGCCCUGUCCUGUCAUCACUCCGACUCUCUCCUUGGAGAAUGGAGCGAGGACAUUGGACCCUAAGAAGCCUUCUUGUAAUAGCUAAGGAAGCCCAGUGCCUAAGACAUCACCGAGGGUGUAUGCUACAGGGACACAGUUCAGAAAAAGGAUCUUGCCUUUGGAUUGUCUCGAGGUGGAUGAUUUCUCUCUCUGCCUGCCUUGAUAAACUCUUCUGUUCACGAUGCUGGCUGUUAUGAAUCUGAGUCAUGGGUGGCUCCAGCCCCUCUGAUCCAUUCGGCUGAUAAUAUUUCCUGACGUUUCCAAGGCCAAGAGUAUGGGAUGAUCGGGUAUCGUAGAUUUACUUUACCUCCUCUCCUCUUCCCCCACCCACCUUGCUCUCCAGCCCCCUCUCCUCCUUGUGGGAUUCCUAUCUUGUGUCGUUCCGCAACAUCCUGGGAUGACAGCAAAUCCCAUCCCUGGCUACCACCCAGGCCUCCCAGAGAAGCUGGAGAGACCAAAGCCUUCUGUGGUCUCUUGGGGACAUCGCCCCCCCUGGUGGAAUGACGGGGAACUUCCCUGGCUUGGGAAAAGCCGGGCAGCCUGGCAGCCUUACCUCUGCUCCACAGUUUUCCGUGUGGCUAAUAAUUAUUACCCUGUGUUAAUCAUGACAGUGGAAGAAUUGCAGGCCAUUAUUUUGAAAUGAUAGGCUCCAGUCAAUGACUACUUAUGACAGCAAAGGGGAAACAUCAGCUCCGGGGAGCCCCCAUGUAAAUGGGGAGUUGAAUGAAAGAUCAGGAAUAAUGGAACAUGUAUUUAGUUCCAUUUUCUUCCCUAAAAGGGCCCUGUCAGAGUAAUUUCCCCUUCCGUGCAUUAUACCUCGCCAUUAUUUACAGUAUCUUCUUGGGAGAAUAAAGCAACACCGGCCCCCUCCUUCUGAUCUCCCCUUCCCUGCCUGGCCCUCCCCCUCUCAGCCCCACAUCAAUUGUGUCUCUUUCUGGAGUUUGGCAAACACAGCGACUUCUUCCUGCUGUGCUUUCAGUGGAGCUGAAAUGAAUGUGGCUCUGGUUAUUUUUUUUCCCCCUUAAUCAUUCUUUUUCUUUUUUUGCUGGAGAGCAUUUUCAUGAAGCACAAUCACAGAGGAACAGAAUGUCCUGAUGUUUGGGUGAACAGCAUACAUUGCUUUGCUUUUUCCUUCCCUUGAAUAAAAAUAACACCCCAUAACCAUAGCAUCAGAGGACUUACAGGCCGUCUUUCAAGGUUCUCCAUAACCUUGCCCUACCCUCUAUGCUCAGUCUUAUUUCUAAUAACCCCUGUCCACCCACCCAGGCAUACUGGUUCCCUCUGGGUUCCUUGAAAUUGCUAAGCUCGUUUUCUCCCCGCACUUCUGCCCAUGUUCUUCCAGCUGUCUAGAAUGUAUUGUUCCCCUUCCUAACUUCCCAGAGCCUGAACAAUCUUUAAGACCUUCUCAAGACCUUUUUCUAAAAGGUCUUUUAAAAUAUAUCUUUUUAAAUAUAUCUUUUUAAAUAUAUCUUUAAAUAUAUCUUUUCCAACCUAUGCUAAGGGCACUUUAUGCCCACAAAAGGUUAAUAAUUUGUAAACUUGUUUCUAUUCAUUGUGAGCUUGGCCUAGAGAAGUCCCUGGGUGCGUGUUUGCUGAAUUACUUUCACUAGUGGUUUUUGCCAUUUAUACCCAUUUCACAGAGGGUAAAUGUAAAGAUGUUCAGAAAGCUUAAGUCACUUGUAGAUCACAUGUCCAGUUACAUGGCAGAGAAGACACUGGAACCUGGUUGUUUUCAUUUCAAGCCCAGGGUCCUUUCCAUUUUGCUAUGCUACGUUCCUGUUGCAAUCUCCUCUAACCUCUCCUGUUACUCGCCAGUGUGCUUAACUUCAGAGCUUCAUAUUUUUCAUCAGAUUGCAAAGUCCUGGUGGGCAGUGGCCAGACUUUCUCUUGUACCUUACCUUGGAAGUGGAAGUUCCUGAUCAAUCUCCUGUAACCACUUCACCUCGACUUUUCUCCAGUCUGUCAAAACUGGCUAAAUAAACAUCGCGGAGCCAAACUUUGGAAGGCCUUGGUUCCGAUGCCGGAAUAUUCUGUGGACCUGGAUUGGCAAACACCUGUGAUCUGUGCUCCUCUGUCCAGCCCCGCUCCACUGAUCUGGGUCUCUCUUUCCUACAUGGGACAUGAUGACACAAGGAAUGUCAGGAGGCCGAACAACUCCUCCUUUGUGACAUUAGAGAUGCCUUCAGAUUCACUACUACUGGUUCUACCAGCAGGGACAGUCCUCUCUACCCUGUUGACUGAUGAGCUUAGAAGAGACCCUUUGACGGAAGAACAUGACAAAUGGCUUUGCAGUUUCCGUAGCCGCCUCAGCCCAGAACCUGUGUGACUCACCUCUGUGCUUUUGAGGAGCUUCAAAGUCAAACGAAUGCUUACUUCUCUUAAUGCAAUAAUAUUUAACAGUUACUGUUAAUAAUUAAUGUAAUAAUGUGUACAGCAAGUCACCAUUGGCAAAGUUUUCAAGUACAUUAGAAGCAGGUGGACAUAUACUAGAAAGAUGGUGGGGUUCAACUACAGUUGCUCAGAGCAUAGACUUCAGAGUGGGCUUUGUUCCCAGCUCUGCCACUGA